GCCGGCCAAUGUACUAAUAACAAAAAAAGGCGUUCUAAAGAUCGCUGACUUCGGAUUAUCAAGAGCAUUCAAAGAAAACAGCAACGGUGAGCAAAAUCGUUUUACAAAUAGAGUGGUGACUAUAUGGUACCGGCCACUGGAGCUUUUACUCGGUGAAAGGAACUAUGGCCCCUCUAUUGAUAUGUGGGGGGCUGGUUGCAUACUGGCCGAAAUGUAGACGAGCUUCAUCAAAUCUGUUACCUAUGCGGAUCAAUAACUCCUGAAGCUUGGGUCGGUGUUGACAAUCUGCCACUGUUCAACAGCCUUCAUUCACCCAAGAAUCACAGGCGAUGGGGGAAGAGCCACGCGACUUGAAGUCACUGAUAUCCAGGUUUAGUGGGAAAUCGUACUCGACGUUAAACCCAUCGGAGCAUCGUUAUAUGCUUCUAAAAGCGCCCGCGACUGCAGCACCUGCAGAGGAUUGCUAUGAAGAGAGAAUAUUCUAGUCAUAGCAGUCUUUUAGCAAGGUGUCGAUGAGGAUCGUGUGGAAAUAGUAUAUUGUGCAAUGAGUGCGAUAAGAUGCCAAAUAUGCACUUAAAAGUUUAU
Long non-coding RNA from Nasonia vitripennis (jewel wasp), 585 nucleotides. RefSeq lists it as uncharacterized. The record is from RefSeq and is a predicted model, not a curated record. The transcript has 3 exons. NCBI's taxonomy places the organism in Eukaryota, Metazoa, Arthropoda, Insecta, Hymenoptera, Pteromalidae.